This 281-nucleotide ribosomal RNA is filed under the name uncultured soil bacterium. Its description in RNAcentral is "partial 16S ribosomal RNA". It matches the Rfam family "Bacterial small subunit ribosomal RNA", at positions 26 to 308 of the family's 1533-position model. The record is from RNAcentral.
AGGACGAACGCUGGCGGCGUGCUUAACACAUGCAAGUCGAACGAUGAUGCCCAGCUUGCUGGGUUGAUUAGUGGCGAACGGGUGAGUAACACGUGAGUAACCUGCCCCUGACUUCGGGAUAACGCUGGGAAACUGGUGCUAAUACCGGAUAUGACGCAUCCUCGCAUGGGGGUGUGUGGAAAGACUGUGUCGGUUGGGGAUGGGCUCGCGGCCUAUCAGCUUGUUGGUGGGUGAUGGCCUACCAAGGCGUCGACGGGUAGCCGGCCUGAGAGGUGACCGGA